UGCAUUUGAUCAAAUGACCACUCAAUGGCUGCGCUGUACCAGGUAUUAGGGGCAGAACAAGUGAGCGUACUUCUUGGCUCAAAAGACGAAGUUGGGCGUAAUCAGCAGUGCAAUCGAUGUUGUAUGAAAGAAUGUGAGCU
This 140-nucleotide non-coding RNA is filed under the name Ditylum brightwellii. Lineage: Eukaryota; Bacillariophyta; Thalassiosirophyceae; Lithodesmiales; Lithodesmiaceae. The record is from RNAcentral.